CUAGCCAUAAUAAGGUUUUUUAUUGACAAGGAAGUGGAAAAAAUUCAUUUAUACUAUUCUCAGAAAUGCAUGUCUGAAAAGAUGAUGUUAGUGCUUGAUGAUAGCCGGUACCUGCAAUAAAGGUAGUCACUUCCUCCACCCUCCCCGCGAGACACACACGCACACACACACCCUGUAGAAGGAGCCCACAGAUUUUUAGAAUAAGAUUAGUAGUGAUUAGAUGUUUGAAGGUUGAUAUAUAUAUAUAUAUAAUAAAAUAAAAACUUGGAUGGAUAUAAAAGACAACAAGCAAGUAUAUAAUAUACAUUAAUUGGCAAUAAUAAUAAUAUUCAAAGAUUAAGGGAAGGGAAGGUAAACCCAUAGACAAUGUCCUUGAUCCACCUGAAGCUCUUUCUGAGAGAACUUUUCAUCUUACCCUCAGCAGAAUACACUUGAUAGCCAGCCAGCAACCCUCUUCUUUCUCUUCAAUUCUGGAUCAUUCAAACUCCCAAAACUACUACUAGUAGUGUUCUUCCCUUUCUUGAUCUUACUACCCAUCAUCAUAUUAUAAGUAGCAGGUGCGUGAUUACUACUGUAACUCCUCAGAUCAUGCAUGCCAUUUGGCCUUUCUCCUCCAUUACUAUUACUAUUAUAGCUCUUACCAUCUCUACAUGAUUUGGAUCUAAAAUCCUCCAUUACCAACCCAAUCAACAACAGACCAGACCAGACCAGAGAGGGGAAAGGGGUUGGUUAUAUUGGGAUUUGCUUCAAGCUGUGAUUUGUUCUUUUUUAUUUUUUCAUUAGGCCUUUGUACCUUUUGUAACUUUGCAUUUGCAUUAGGCUGCUUUAUGGACACGUGUAAAGGUUCCAGUUUACCUCUUCAAGUAGAUCUAGGAGAGAGAGAGAGAGAGGAAAGUGUUUAGAAUGAAUUUCAUUUACGAGUAAAUUGGUCAAUUGAUAGACUCAAAAAUGAACUUUAUGCUAAUCGGAUCCGAGAGAGAGACUUUCACUCCGCCA
RNAcentral lists this long non-coding RNA (996 nucleotides) under Panax ginseng (ginseng). RNAcentral describes it as "long non-coding RNA (PGIN_LNC005755)". Lineage: Eukaryota; Viridiplantae; Streptophyta; Magnoliopsida; Apiales; Araliaceae. The record is from RNAcentral.